RNAcentral lists this ribosomal RNA (245 nucleotides) under uncultured bacterium. RNAcentral describes it as "partial small subunit ribosomal RNA". It matches the Rfam family "Bacterial small subunit ribosomal RNA", at positions 26 to 286 of the family's 1533-position model. The record is from RNAcentral.
AGAAUCAACGCUGGCGGCGUGCCUAACACAUGCAAGUCGAACGAGAAAGUGGAGCAAUCCAUGAGUAAAGUGGCGCACGGGUGAGUAACACGUGACUAACCUACCCUUGAGUGGGGAAUAACUUCGGGAAACCGAGGCUAAUACCGCAUAACACCUACGGGUCAAAGGAGCAAUUCGCUUAAGGAGGGGUCGCGGCAGAUUAGUUAGUCGGCGGGGUAAUGGCCCACCAAGACGGUGAUCUGUAU